Long non-coding RNA from Hemicordylus capensis (graceful crag lizard), 1623 nucleotides. RefSeq lists it as uncharacterized. The transcript is spliced from 3 exons. NCBI's taxonomy places the organism in Eukaryota, Metazoa, Chordata, Lepidosauria, Squamata, Cordylidae. The record is from RefSeq and is a predicted model, not a curated record.
GAGCAAGCCCAUUAGCAGUUAGAAUAGAGUGUCGCAAGCACUCUAUUCUAACCGCACAGGCGCACCGGAGCGUCCUGAAGUUCUCAGAGGCCGCUGAGCCAGACAGUCAGGCUCAGUGGCCACUCCUACUUCACCCUCUGCCGCCACUGCCAUGUGGGGGGCGGGGGGGGAGGCCUGCUCACUUCACACAUACCUUGGCCACAGACAUGGCGGCUAGAAUAUCGGUGGUUUGGCCUCGUGGCUGCAGGAGGAAAAGCUCGCAGCAGUAGCAGGAGCCGCCCCCCCCCCCCGGGCCUUUGAAGGCCCCCAUGGUAAAAGAGAACACAUUAAAGAAAGACAGGGGGAAGGCAGACUUCACUGACAUGCCUGUCUGACUUAGACCACAGAAGGCAAGAAGCAACUUAUUUAAAAGAAAUGUUUCCUGUGGAAGCUGCAGGCAAAUCCACUUGGUCCAUUCUGUGCUUCUGACUGCCAUAGCAUCUGGCACAAAACUAUGUCACUAAAGUGUCUGGAAUAGACUGCUGGUUCUGGAAGAUUUGUACAACAAUGCUGAGAGAGGAAAUGGAAGGAAUAUCCGGACAAACUAAUUCGAUAUUAAACAGGCCCCAAUGUUAUGAAAAGGGGAUAAUGCAAAAUUAGGUGCAUGGGAAAAGGACAACAACCAGAAGAUGGAAACCAUAGCAUGGGAGGCAAAACCUCAACAGUUUUAUAGAAUGAAAAUAAUAAAAAGCCAAAUGCAGUCUGAUGAAAAUCUUCAUUGGGUGGAAUUGUAUACAUAUUUUCUUUAAUCAGAGUUCUUUGGGCAAUGAUUUGUCAUUUGGCAGAAGGGGACUUGCAUACAAAUUUACCCAGCAGGAUCAGAUCAAGAUUUUGACUCGUUGCACCUUCUUUUGCAUUUGCAAAAGGAUUUGCCUAGCAAGAUGCUUUCAGUGAACCCCCUGAGAAGAACAUGGAUGCAGCAGCAGCACUUUCUAGGCUCACAGUGUCAAAUGUACUUGUCCCUAAAUAUGUUCCACUGGCUAAUGUGUUGUGUUGGUAAGGAAAAUUGUUUUAUCACAUUACAGUUGAAACACAUCUCUACAGACACUUCCAUAUAGAGCUUCCUUUGACUUUCUACAUCCAAGACCCACAAGUCACGUCAUCCACCCUGACUUCUCAUCAGUUCACAUGACAGAUGCAGAAAUGUUCUGGCUGUGAGAUCUGUAUAAAGCAAGAAAGGAAACUGCAUGCAGCAACCUUGAACUAGAAUGCACUUUGUUUUGGAAACAUUGCUUCAAACUUAUUGUACACUAUAAAUUGGGAAUGUGAAAAAUACCCUCCAGUGCAAAUGCCCAUAUUUUAACAGUUGUUCCUAUUUCAGAACAAGAAAGUCCCCUCAAAUACGUUGAUACUUCUCAUUCCAGAGUAUCCUGCCCCCAUAGAAUGCUAUUUCAAAUUUUAAUAAAUAUACCUAAGUCCAAAACAUCAUAAUGACACAUAUUUCUAUUGAAUUCCACAGAAUAAUCGCUAGAACCUGAUCUUAUUCCUCUUUGAAAUGGUUUUCUCUUCUAAUAUUUUGAGCUCUUCUACCAUCUUCUUUAAAGCACAUACUUAAACUUUAUGAAUUAAAUCCUUUUUGCAAAA